UACGAAGGGGGCUAGCGUUGUUCGGAAUCACUGGGCGUAAAGGGCGCGUAGGCGGCUUUAUAAGUCGGGGGUGAAAGCCUGUGGCUCAACCACAGAAUUGCCUUCGAUACUGUAGAGCUUGAGACCGGAAGAGGUAAGUGGAACUGCGAGUGUAGAGGUGAAAUUCGUAGAUAUUCGCAAGAACACCAGUGGCGAAGGCGGCUCACUGGCCCGGUACUGACGCUGAGGUGCGAAAGCGUGGGGAGCAAACAGGG
Molecule: ribosomal RNA, 254 nt
Filed under: uncultured bacterium
Lineage: Bacteria
Description: partial 16S ribosomal RNA
Rfam family: Bacterial small subunit ribosomal RNA
Source: RNAcentral